UUACUAGAAGCUGUGCUCCUGUUACAGCUUAUUGCCACAGAGGCAAGUGUGUCCCUCAGCCGUCAGCCUUCGGAAACCAGUCUCUCAGUAAGAAAAGAUUUUCCAAUGGGACAGAGCUUCUUUCUUGAUAAUCGGCGCCCACGUUGGGCUCAGGCCUGGCUGCUCGCAGUCUGUGCUCUACUUUGCCUCAAGUCCGGGGCAGAUGCUAUAACAUGCAGGCUUUGCUCCAAAUUGGACACAGAGGAGACAUGCACUCCGACUGAUCGUACAUGUACGGGAGACUACUGUAUGAUUGGAGAAGUUUUUGAAGCCGGCACGGAUGAAUUUAUUGAAAUGCAAAAAUUCUGUGGCUCUUUGCCAUUAAAAUACUUGUGUGGACAGGAAUUGCAUGAAUAUCGCAGAGAGAAAAUGACAUGCUGUUAUCACGACUACUGUUCUGAUGAAUAUCCUUAAGUUGUUUUAACCCAUCAGCCUUUCCCUUCCCUCCUUCCCUCCUCAGUUUGCUAUUUUGUUUUGGAAGCUGCUUUGGGGGUGCAUUUGAAUGGAAAUACGAAGCGUUGUAAGAAUGCAAUGAUUCCAAUCCAAUCAAUCUAACCACUAUCACCGUCUGCUCAAAAGCUGCUGCUUUUGAGUGCGGAUCUCAGAAAGACACAAUAAAUAUUAAGCAAUUCUUUCUGUCCCUUCCCCACGGUGGAAGUCAGGCCUUCAUGAACUGUAAUCCAAAUGACAGACAAAAGACUUCUGUUGCCAUUUUGAUGGCAUGUACCGUAUUUUUCGCUCCAAAAGACGCACCUGACCGUAAGUCGCACCUAGUUUUUAGAGGAGGAAAACAAGAAAAAAAAAUCUGAAUGAAACAGUGGAUGUAUGGUUUUUGUG
Podarcis muralis (Common wall lizard) is the source of this 876-nucleotide long non-coding RNA. RefSeq lists it as uncharacterized. The record is from RefSeq and is a predicted model, not a curated record. NCBI's taxonomy places the organism in Eukaryota, Metazoa, Chordata, Lepidosauria, Squamata, Lacertidae.